Molecule: ribosomal RNA, 253 nt
Filed under: uncultured bacterium
Lineage: Bacteria
Description: partial 16S ribosomal RNA
Rfam family: Bacterial small subunit ribosomal RNA
Source: RNAcentral
UACGGAGGGUGCAAGCGUUAUCCGGAUUCACUGGGUUUAAAGGGUGUGUAGGCGGGUAUUUAAGUCAGUGGUGAAAUCUCCAGGCUCAACCUGGAAACUGCCAUUGAUACUAUUUAUCUUGAAUAUCGUUGAGGUUGGCGGAAUAUAUCAUGUAGCGGUGAAAUGCAUAGAUAUGAUAUAGAACACCGAUUGCGAAGGCAGCUAACUAAACGAUGAUUGACGCUGAGGCACGAAAGCGUGGGGAUCAAACAGG